Molecule: ribosomal RNA, 253 nt
Filed under: uncultured bacterium
Lineage: Bacteria
Description: partial 16S ribosomal RNA
Rfam family: Bacterial small subunit ribosomal RNA
Source: RNAcentral
CACGUAGGAGGCGAGCGUUGUCCGGAAUCAUUGGACGUAAAGAGCGCGCAGGCGGCUUGGCAAGUCGGGUGUGAAAUCCCGGGGCUCAACCCCGUGACUGCAUUCGAUACUGUCAGGCUAGAGGUAGGUAGGGGAGAUCGGAAUUCCUGGUGUAGCGGUGAAAUGCGCAGAUAUCAGGAGGAACACCGGUGGCGAAGGCGGAUCUCUGGGCCUUACCUGACGCUCAGGCGCGAAAGCUAGGGGAGCGAACAGG